This is a long non-coding RNA of Bos taurus (domestic cattle), 1683 nucleotides long. NCBI's taxonomy places the organism in Eukaryota, Metazoa, Chordata, Mammalia, Artiodactyla, Bovidae. The record is from Ensembl.
GUGGUUUUUAACUGACAUAUUCUGAGAAGUAUUAUCACUAAUAGGCAACAUUUAUUAAGCAUUUUGCUAUGUGCCAACCGCAGCCAAGUGCUUUGCAGGCAUCUUCUCGUUCAGUCCUCUUAGAAAAGAAACUAUGAAAUUGGUGGUGUCAUUUCUGAUACCUGAUAUAUGAGGAAAGAGAGGCUCAGAGAGCUGGAGGAACCUGCCUAAGAACACCCAGAGGUGGUCUGGUGGCCUCCGUCGAUUGAAGGUGUCAAUCGGAAAAUUCACUCAGCUUCAGUUCUCUUUUUAAUUUACUUGCCUGUGUUGGGUCUGCAGCUCGUGGGGUCUCCCUUGUCACGUGGGAUCUUUCAUUGUGGCAGGCGGCUUAGUUACUCCAAAGCAUAUGGGAGUUCAGUUCCCCAACCAGGGAUCCAACCCGAGUUCCCUGCAUGGCAAGGUGGCUCUUCACCACUGGGCCACCAGGGAAGUCUCUCAGCUUCAAUUCUUGAUACUGAAGUUACUUUUUGAAGUCUGAAGCCCACCUGGUGCCAGGCAGGGUUACACCUUCCCAGGCGGACAGGCCUCACCCACUGGGCUCCUGAAGUAGACACCUGUCCCCAGGGCUCCUUGGAAGAUUCGACCCCGGAGGCUGUGGCUUGCCGGGGUGGGGGCUUGCGGCCAGGAGUUCGGAGGGCCACCACCUGCUUCCUGGGUGUCAGGCCUCACAGAAAAGCCCUGGCUGCACUGCCCUCCCUCAGCAGGGAGCAGGUGCCGAGAUUCUUCAGGGCAAGAAUAAAAAUGAACCAUCUUCUAGCACCUUCUAUGUAUUUCUAUGCAUUAAAACAGGCUCUGUCUGAAGAAUUUUACCUGCAUCAACUCACUAAUUCUCCCAACAAACCCAUGAGCAAAGAAACAGUAAGCAGCAGGGCCAUGAUGCGAACCCGAGACGCUGAACUCCAAAAGGCAGGUGCUUAUCCGCACUGCCGUAUUACAAGUGUCUUGUGUUGACAGCUGUGUUCCCCGCACUCUGGUCUGAGCGAGGUACUAUGUGAUUUAGGAACAAAUGCACGAAGAAAUGAAUGAGUCUGUGGUUAUGCUGCCACCCGAGUCCACCCCACAGCACCAGGGCCAAGCCCCUUUGCAAGCAGAAAUUCUGGCUGGAAAACUAAUUCUCACCUGCCCCACCAGGUGACCAAGACCCAUGCGAUCCAUCCACCUCUACCUGGCUGGGGAAGAAACAGGCACCAAACUCUCAGUUUCGGCCCACGUCACGACAGGACUGGAGCGGUCACAGCCACCUCUUCCCAUAAAGUCCUUCAGCGGGAGGAAUAACAACUUGAGUCUCCACACAGUAGGCUCCAGGGGCCGGGGACUGCGCCCAUGUGAAGGUGGGGAGAUGGAGCCCCCGGCAGGACAGCCACACCUGGACUUGACCCUGGGCUUUCCAGACGACAGAACACGCUGCAUGCAGAGUUCGGACAGGAGGGGAAAUGUGCUGGGGGCGGGGGUGACUUUCCUGCAGCAGCAGCUGGAACUCAAACCCUGUCCUGACUCCAAACCCAGGGCUGUGCCACUGCUCAGCCGUGAUGCCCCGACUGAACCAGACCAGACCGAGGCAUGGUCUCCAGGGAGGGGACCAAGUAUGACAGAGUCUGUACACCUCACGUGGGACCCCUGUCUGGGGCCCAUUCUGGCCCAGAG